RNAcentral lists this long non-coding RNA (403 nucleotides) under Heterocephalus glaber (naked mole-rat). Its description in RNAcentral is "lncRNA (ENSHGLG00100029137.2)". Lineage: Eukaryota; Metazoa; Chordata; Mammalia; Rodentia; Bathyergidae. The record is from RNAcentral.
AACAUGGGCUGUGAAGACUGGAUUGUAGGCUGUUAAACAUGAAAUCAUAUUCAUCAGUACAGGAUCUAUUAGGGAUAUUGUGAUGUUCCUGACUCCACUCCCAUCAUUACAGAGAGCUGACCACCAUCUCCUACUGCGCUAGUCAGGGAGUCCUGCAGGAUCCAGAGGAGAUUGGGGUGAUAACGCAGACUCCACUCUUCCUAUCAUCCCUGCACAGCCAACCUUCAUCUCAGGAAGAGAUCACGUGUGCACUUUCACAGCUGUGCCUGGAGCCACUGCAUGGUUCAUAGGGAAGUGGGGCAUCAUGUGGGGCUUUCGGUCUUCAACCAUUUCUUCAUUAGUAAAUAUUCUUGCCCAAUGCUACAUGGGUCAUGUCACGUAUUUCCAAUUAAUUCAACAGGGC